CUCGCCUGGCCUCUUGCCACCUCGGGCUUUCCACUGGCGUCGUGAGCAGCUCUUAACAUCCCUUCACCCUCACGGGUUCCAGGCAGGAUUUGUCCCUCGGGGGAGCCAUUACGGCCCGCCCUAGCCCGAGUGGAUUUGGCCCAAUUCCUUCCUCUGGGAAUUAGGUCGCCUCCCCCACUGCUCGAACCCUUGACCUCCCACUUUAAGGGAAUAGUCUGGUGAGAGUGAGUACCAAUUCA
This 239-nucleotide long non-coding RNA is filed under the name Manihot esculenta (cassava). RNAcentral's name for it is "long non-coding RNA (MESC_LNC006362)". The record is from RNAcentral. Lineage: Eukaryota; Viridiplantae; Streptophyta; Magnoliopsida; Malpighiales; Euphorbiaceae.